This 22-nucleotide microRNA is filed under the name Callorhinchus milii (elephant shark). RNAcentral's name for it is "eshark_NOVEL_233". Lineage: Eukaryota; Metazoa; Chordata; Chondrichthyes; Chimaeriformes; Callorhinchidae. The record is from RNAcentral.
CCCCCGCUCGGCGUCUCCCGUC